Molecule: ribosomal RNA, 711 nt
Filed under: Triticum aestivum (bread wheat)
Lineage: Eukaryota; Viridiplantae; Streptophyta; Magnoliopsida; Poales; Poaceae
Description: partial small subunit ribosomal RNA
Source: RNAcentral
UGUGCCACAAACCCUAAAACCCUUGUCUAUUAUGACCCAUUUCAUCUCUUUGUUAAGGAUCGUGCUACGAGGAACAUACUUCUUAGAGGUCGCUACCGCCAUGGUUUAUAUGCUCUUGAUGCCCCCACUGACGUUCCUGCUCUUGCUGCUGCGUUCCAAGUCUUCAGUGGCGUCCGUGUGUCUCCAUCACUAUGGCACUCUCGUCUUGGUCACCCAGCUUCUCCCAUUGUACGCCAUGUCCUCCAUCGUCAUGAGCUACCGUCCGAGUCUAGUAAUAAAGAUGCCGCCGUCUAUGAUGCCUGCCAGCAAGGCAAGAGUCAUCAGUUACCUUUUUCUGUUUCUACACAUAUAGUCAAAACUCCUCUUGAGCUUGUGUUUUCAGAUGUAUGGGGUCCUGCCCAGCUGUCCGUUAGUGGGCAGGAAUAUUAUGUCAGUUUCAUUGAUGCUUAUAGUCACUUUACCUGGAUUUAUCUUCUUAAGCAUAAGUCUGAUGUGUUUAAUGUGUUUUUACAAUUUCAAGCACAUGUUGAGAGACUCCUAAAUCAUAAAAUCAUUCAUGUACAAUCAGACUGGGGGGGGGGGGUGAGUACCGCAACCUCAGUACCUUCUUUGAAAAACUUGGAAUUGCUCAUCGUGUUUCUUGCCCACAUACACAUCAGCAGAAUGGCUCAGCUGAACAUAAGCACCAUCAUAUUGUUGAAACUGGGUUAA